GCAAACUUGGUCAUUUAGAGGAAGUAAAAGUCGUAACAAGGUUUCCGUAGGUGAACCUGCGGAAGGAUCAUUAAAGAAUUGUCCCAUUUUUGGGACAGUCCAAUUCAUCUUUAUCCACCCCUUGUGUGCACAGUAUUUACUUUUGCGGUUGGCAGGCUUUUAGCCCCGGUAGGACUAAACGUUCUCUUCGAUAAGGAGGGAAUGCGCGUCUGUCAGCAGUAAAAUUUUUAUGAAUCUCACGCUUCUCUACGUUUUUGUCUGAAAUCUUUGUUUUAUGAAUUUUUUCAAUAAAAAUUCUCAAUAAAUACAACUUUCAACAACGGAUCUCUUGGCUCUCGCAUCGAUGAAGAACGCAGC
This 357-nucleotide unclassified non-coding RNA is filed under the name uncultured fungus. RNAcentral describes it as "partial contains small subunit ribosomal RNA, internal transcribed spacer 1, and 5.8S ribosomal RNA". The stretch from base 1 to 73 matches the Rfam family "Eukaryotic small subunit ribosomal RNA", at positions 1759 to 1831 of the family's 1831-position model. The record is from RNAcentral. Lineage: Eukaryota; Fungi.